AAAACCCUGAAGUAACUGGGAAAGUGUGGGAUGGACUAGAUUAGUUUUUCUGUCAUCCGGUGGCAUUGAGGCUCAAGACAGGGUGCAUCUGUGGUAGGUAGAAUUCUAUAUAGCCUCCACAUUUCCUACCCGCCCCCCAAUGUACAUGUCCUUGUAGAAUCCCCUCUCCGCCCUUGGACUUGAGUGGGCAGAAUGGACUACCUGCUUGUAAACAAUAGGAUAUGGCAAAGGUGAAGGGAUUUUGCAAGUGUAAUUAAGGCCCCUAAUCAGUUGACUUUGAGUUAAUCAAAAGGGAGAUGAUCCUGGGUGGGUCUGAGCUAAUCAGGCAAACCUUUCAAAGGAGGGCCAGGUCUUCCCUGAAGUUACAGAGCUUCCCCUGCUGGCCUUGAAGAAGUAAACUACCAUGUUGUGAGAAGGCCAUCUGGCAAGGAACUGUGAGCAGUCUCUGGGAGCUAGAUCGGCCCUUGACUGAUGGCCAUCUAGAAGAUGGGGACCUCAGUCCCACACCCACAAGGAACUGAAUUCUGCCAACAGCCUGAAUAAGCUUGGAAGAGAACCCAGAGCCUCAGGUCCCAGGUCAUCAAGGAGUGAGGACGUGGUGUACAGAUGCUCCUCUUUUUGACAGCAAGAAGGUGUGUCAAGGUCUCAGAAGCGUGCCUAUGAAAAAGAGCUCUUCUGGUGUCUACACCCGAUUAUUUCUACAGCAAGAACAUGGAAGUUUAUUUCUUAUGAUCCCGAAGACAAACACUCUUUAAAGAGGCUCAUCGACAAGGGCAUGUAUUAUGAGCCCACACUCCA
RNAcentral lists this long non-coding RNA (798 nucleotides) under Equus asinus (donkey). Its description in RNAcentral is "lncRNA (ENSEASG00005032957.1)". The record is from RNAcentral. Lineage: Eukaryota; Metazoa; Chordata; Mammalia; Perissodactyla; Equidae.